UACGGAGGGUGCAAGCGUUGUCCGGAUUUAUUGGGUUUAAAGGGUGCGUAGGCGGCCUAAUAAGUCAGUGGUGAAAGCCUCCAGCUUAACUGGAGAACUGCCAUUGAUAUUGUUAGGCUUGAGUAUACUUGAGGUAGGCGGAAUUGACAGUGUAGCGGUGAAAUGCAUAGAUAUUGUCAAGAACACCAAUUGCGAAGGCAGCUUACUAAAUUAUAACUGACGCUGAGGCACGAAAGUGUGGGUAUCAAACAGG
RNAcentral lists this ribosomal RNA (253 nucleotides) under uncultured bacterium. Its description in RNAcentral is "partial 16S ribosomal RNA". It matches the Rfam family "Bacterial small subunit ribosomal RNA", at positions 524 to 776 of the family's 1533-position model. The record is from RNAcentral.